This 1010-nucleotide long non-coding RNA is filed under the name Nicotiana tabacum (common tobacco). RNAcentral describes it as "long non-coding RNA (NTAB_LNC009394)". The record is from RNAcentral. Lineage: Eukaryota; Viridiplantae; Streptophyta; Magnoliopsida; Solanales; Solanaceae.
GUUGAUGUAAUAAUGUUAAAAACCAAGGGCAAAAAUAUUAUGGCUGAAGUUGGCAUGUCGACGAAGAGCAGGCUGCUUCACCUGCUCCUACGGUGCUUCUUAUAUAGGAGAAUAAGUUUGCAUCUUCAGCUUUGGUUUGGUUUGGUGAAAGUUCUGUCAUUCUUUGGUUGAAGUAUGCUUAAUUGUAGCUACUUUUUUAAUUGAUGUUCACUUGUUUGUUAGCAUUUUGAGAAUUGAUGGGUCUAUACUGGAUGAUAUCUUUGUGAUUUGUGAAUAGUGAAGCUUAUAGUUCAAAAGAACUUUUACAAUGUUGUCACAUAAGGAAAUCUAGUAUAAAGGUGCUAUUAAUGUUGCCUCUAGACUUUUGCUUGUAAUUUAAAGUUCUUACACUAUUUUUGUAGGAGUGUACGAUAUUCUGGGGCUACAUAAGCUUUGUCUUGUUGAUUGUAUCUUGUAAUUUACCCUCAAUAUUAAAUUCUAUAAACUAUCAAAGUAACCUUUGUUCUUUCUCAGGUAAACAAAAUUGAGAAGAAUCAAACUAAUAAACUUGGGACCAAGAAAAAGAAAUGGGUAAGUUUGGUAAAACAUGCAAUACAUAUGGUAUUUUUCAGUUUUAUUACAUAGUUGUAAUUCUCCUUUUUUGUGAUUCUUUGCAGAACUUCUGAAGGAUGUAGAUUAAUUUUUUGCAAGGAAUACUUGGCUUGUGAAAAGAUGGAUCCAUAAAGCCUUGUUGCACAAUUUAUUCUAGAAUUUAAGGGAAUUCAUUUAGAUUAGGAGUGAAUUUGACAUAGUUCCAUGUUAAAAUUACUAUAUCUUUUAUGAUUUAGAUAGAAUUACAUUUAUUUGAGAUAUAACAUAUCAUUUGAUUUGAACUCAAACUUGUAAGGAGACCUUAUUAUGUCGGUAGUAUAUUCUUUAAAUCCAACGUAUAAAGAAAUUUUAUUUUUCAUAUUUGUUAUAUUGUGUAUAAAGAUAGACAUUUAUGAAUGUAUAAAUCGAAUAUAUAUUUG